This 411-nucleotide ribosomal RNA is filed under the name uncultured bacterium. RNAcentral describes it as "bacterial SSU rRNA". It matches the Rfam family "Bacterial small subunit ribosomal RNA", at positions 110 to 518 of the family's 1533-position model. The record is from RNAcentral.
GUAACACGUAUCCAACCUUCCCAUAACUCAGGGAUAGCCCUUUCGAAAGAAAGAUUAAUACCUGAUAGUACUUUUUCAAGGCAUCUUGAAAAAAGUUAAGAUUUAUUGGUUAUGGAUGGGGAUGCGUUCCAUUAGAUAGUGGUGAGGUAACGGCUCACCAAGUCUUCGAUGGAUAGGGGUCUGAGAGGAAGGUCCCCCACAUUGGUACUGAGACACGGACCAAACUCCUACGGGAGGCAGCAGUGAGGAAUAUUGGUCAAUGGGCGAGAGCCUGAACCAGCCAAGUAGCGUGAAAAGGAUGAAGGUCCUAUGGAUUGUAAACUUCUUUUAUAGUAGAAUAAAGUGAGCCACGUGUGGUUUUUUGUAUGUAUACUAUGAAUAAGGAUCGGCUAACUCCGUGCCAGCCGCGGC